This 370-nucleotide long non-coding RNA is filed under the name Nicotiana benthamiana. Its description in RNAcentral is "long non-coding RNA (NBEN_LNC008978)". The record is from RNAcentral. Lineage: Eukaryota; Viridiplantae; Streptophyta; Magnoliopsida; Solanales; Solanaceae.
UUUAAUGUCUACUUUUCAGUAGAUGGAGACUGUAAUGUAUGCAUUGAAAGCAACCCAACAGAAAUUCCUCAGCGUUCUGUCUGCUCAGUUUCUACAACAAAUUCUAAUGGUUCAGUACAUGGCAGUGAGAAAUCAGACCUCUCUGAACCUGUUACAGUGAUGCAAGAUGAUGUUCCCGACAAUCCUCUCAUCCAAGUUGGUACAUGGCAGUGAGAAAUCAGACCUCUCCGAACCUGUUACAGUGAUGCAAGAUGAUGUUUCCGACAAUCCUCUCAUCCAAGUUUGUGAAUCGUUGUGCCCUAUGCACAGUAGAGACAGUGGGUGCAGGUGCCCAAAUCCUGGUUGUGCCAAGUUUCGGAGCCAAUUUGUU